Molecule: transfer RNA, 85 nt
Filed under: Felis catus (domestic cat)
Lineage: Eukaryota; Metazoa; Chordata; Mammalia; Carnivora; Felidae
Also listed under: 1 other name
Rfam family: tRNA
About the family: Transfer RNA (tRNA) molecules are approximately 80 nucleotides in length.
Source: Rfam by way of RNAcentral
GCUUGGGUGGCUCAGUCAGUUGAGCAUCUGACUUUGGCUCAGGUCAUAAUUUCACAGUUUGUGGGUUUGAGCCCCACAUCAGGCU